UCGCCGCGGAUACCAGCUCCGCGAGUGGCGGACGAUUAUUGGGCCUAAGCGUCCGUAGCCGGCCUAUCAAGUCUCUGGUUAACCUCAAGGCUCAACCUUGAGAUUGCUGGAGAUACUGUCAGGCUAGGGGCGGAGAGGUUGAGGGUACGUUCGCGGGUAGGGCGGAAAUCCUAUAAUCCGCGAAGGACCACCAGUGGCGAAGGC
RNAcentral lists this ribosomal RNA (204 nucleotides) under uncultured archaeon. RNAcentral's name for it is "partial 16S ribosomal RNA". It matches the Rfam family "Archaeal small subunit ribosomal RNA", at positions 462 to 673 of the family's 1478-position model. The record is from RNAcentral.